AUACGGAGGGAGCAAGCGUUAUUCGGAAUCACUGGGCGUAAAGGACGCGUAGGCGGGUUUGUAAGUCAGGUGUGAAAUCCUACAGCUCAACUGUAGAACUGCACUUGAGACUACAGACCUAGAGUAUGGAAGGGGCAGAUGGAAUUAGUGGUGUAGGGGUAAAAUCCGUAGAUAUCACUAGGAAUACCGAAAGCGAAGGCGAUCUGCUGGGACAUUACUGACGCUGAGGCGUGAAAGCGUGGGGAGCAAACAGGAUUAGAAACCCGAGUAGUCC
Molecule: ribosomal RNA, 274 nt
Filed under: uncultured bacterium
Lineage: Bacteria
Description: partial 16S ribosomal RNA
Rfam family: Bacterial small subunit ribosomal RNA
Source: RNAcentral